This is a long non-coding RNA of Malaya genurostris, 635 nucleotides long. RefSeq lists it as uncharacterized. Lineage: Eukaryota; Metazoa; Arthropoda; Insecta; Diptera; Culicidae. The transcript has 4 exons. The record is from RefSeq and is a predicted model, not a curated record.
CCCUCGUCCACAUAGAUCCACUACGACACAUAAAAUAGAACGUCAUUGCAUAGACGGUGACAUUUGAGAAAGCAGUGAUAAAGCGAUAUUCAAUAGAACAGAACAGAACUAUAACAGUGAAGCAACUUUCCGUUUUAUUCUGAUAAUUAAUUUUGGAAUGCACUAUCGUCAAAUUAAUCUUGAAUUUAUAUCUAAAUUAUAACCUAACAAUUGUUAUUUCGUACCCUAAAUUGUCGUGCUUGUAAAGCUCCCUAUAUUUCUAAAUACUAAGGAUUGAAAUUUAUAUACUCUAGUGAUUCUAAUAUAACAAUACUCUCUACGUCGUAUAUUGUUCGUUAAGCGGACUAGAGCUAGUGGAAAAAACGUGGAACAAAACCAAGAAAAGUUGAAAGGUUAAAAAAAAGCACUAAACAAAUUUUAUAAUCCGUUGCAAUAAAGAUUAUAAAAUUGGAAUAGCUGCAGCUUUUCUUCACAGCAAGUCUAUUUUCACUCUCCGCUUUGCCGUAAGACGUUGGUUUGUUUUUGUCCCCUUUUGCUGCCUAUGGAGUACAUCAGCGUCAUCAUCUAUUUGAUGAUCUCAGCUAAUGUGUGGUCAACGGAGGUUUGAUUUGUCUUUCAAUAUUUUCACCCCGAUU